GAUGAACGCUGGCGGCGUGCUUAACACAUGCAAGUCGAACGAUAAAGCCCAGCUUGCUGGGUGGAUUAGUGGCGAACGGGUGAGUAACACGUGAGUAACCUGCCCUUGACUCUGGGAUAAGCCCGGGAAACUGGGUCUAAUACCGGAUAGGAGCGCCUGUCGCAUGACGGGUGUUGGAAAGAUUUUUCGGUCAUGGAUGGACUCGCGGCCUAUCAGCUUGUUGGUGAGGUAAUGGCUCACCAAGGCGACGACGGGUAGCCGGCCUGAGAGGGUGACCGGCCACACUGGGACUGAGACACGGCCCAGACUCCUACGGGAGGCAGCAGUGGGGAAUAUUGCACAAUGGGCGGAAGCCUGAUGCAGCGA
This 366-nucleotide ribosomal RNA is filed under the name Micrococcus sp. oral taxon F54. RNAcentral describes it as "bacterial SSU rRNA". It matches the Rfam family "Bacterial small subunit ribosomal RNA", at positions 28 to 394 of the family's 1533-position model. Lineage: Bacteria; Bacillati; Actinomycetota; Actinomycetes; Micrococcales; Micrococcaceae. The record is from RNAcentral.